GACGAACGCUGGCGGCGUGCCUAAUGCAUGCAAGUUGAGCGAUGAAGAUUGGUGCUUGCACCAAUUUGAAGAGCAGCGCACGGGUGAGUAACGCGUGGGGAAUCUACCUUUGAGCGGGGGACAACAUUUGGAAACGAAUGCUAAUACCGCAUAACAACUUUAAACAUAAGUUUUAAGUUUGAAAGAUGCAAUUGCAUCACUCAAAGAUGAUCCCGCGUUGUAUUAGCUAGUUGGUGAGGUAAAGGCUCACCAAGGCGAUGAUACAUAGCCGACCUGAGAGGGUGAUCGGCCACAUUGGGACUGAGACACGGCCCAAACUCCUACGGGAGGCAGCAGUAGGGAAUCUUCGGCAAUGGACGAAAGUCUGACCGAGCAACGCCGCGUGAGUGAAGAAGGUUUUCGGAUCGUAAAACUCUGUUGGUAGAGAAGAACGUUGGUGAGAGUGGAAAGCUCAUCAAGUGACGGUAACUACCCAGAAAGGGACGGCUAACUACGUG
RNAcentral lists this ribosomal RNA (497 nucleotides) under uncultured bacterium. RNAcentral describes it as "partial 16S ribosomal RNA". It matches the Rfam family "Bacterial small subunit ribosomal RNA", at positions 28 to 507 of the family's 1533-position model. The record is from RNAcentral.